This 427-nucleotide ribosomal RNA is filed under the name uncultured bacterium. RNAcentral's name for it is "bacterial SSU rRNA". It matches the Rfam family "Bacterial small subunit ribosomal RNA", at positions 355 to 774 of the family's 1533-position model. The record is from RNAcentral.
UGGGGAAUUUUGGACAAUGGGCGCAAGCCUGAUCCAGCCAUGCCGCGUGCAGGAUUAAGGCCUUCGGGUUGUAAACUGCUUUUGUACGGAACGAAAAGGUGCCUUCUAAUAAAGGGCGCUCAUGACGGUACCGUAAGAAUAAGCACCGGCUAACUACGUGCCAGCAGCCGCGGUAAUACGUAGGGUGCGAGCGUUAAUCGGAAUUACUGGGCGUAAAGCGUGCGCAGGCGGUUUUGUAAGACAGAGGUGAAAUCCCCGGGCCCAACCUGGGAACUGCCUUUGUGACUGCAAGGCUGGAGUGCGGCAGAGGGGGAUGGAAUUCCGCGUGUAGCAGUGAAAUGCGUAGAUAUGCGGAGGAACACCGAUGGCGAAGGCAAUCCCCUGGGCCUGCACUGACGCUCAUGCACGAAAGCGUGGGGAGCAAACA